UAAACACUCUGAAGCCACAAUGUU
RNAcentral lists this microRNA (24 nucleotides) under Sarcophilus harrisii (Tasmanian devil). RNAcentral describes it as "Sha-Mir-12475-P12_5p (mature (co-guide))". The record is from RNAcentral. Lineage: Eukaryota; Metazoa; Chordata; Mammalia; Dasyuromorphia; Dasyuridae.